RNAcentral lists this ribosomal RNA (1051 nucleotides) under Raffaelea albimanens. RNAcentral's name for it is "SSU rRNA". It matches the Rfam family "Eukaryotic small subunit ribosomal RNA", at positions 62 to 1123 of the family's 1831-position model. Lineage: Eukaryota; Fungi; Ascomycota; Sordariomycetes; Ophiostomatales; Ophiostomataceae. The record is from RNAcentral.
AGUAUAAGCAAUUGUACUGCGAAACUGCGAAUGGCUCAUUAAAUCAGUUAUCGUCUAUUUGAUAGUACCUUACUACUUGGAUAACCGUGGUAAUUCUAGAGCUAAUACAUGCUGAAAACCCCGACUUCGGAAGGGAUGUAUUUAUUAGAUUAAAAACCAAUGCCCUCCGGGGCUCACUGGUGAUUCAUGAUAACUUCUCGAAUCGCACGGCCUUGCGCCGGCGAUGGUUCAUUCAAAUUUCUGCCCUAUCAACUUUCGACGGCUGGGUCUUGGCCAGCCGUGGUGACAACGGGUAACGGAGGGUUAGGGCUCGACCCCGGAGAAGGAGCCUGAGAAACGGCUACUACAUCCAAGGAAGGCAGCAGGCGCGCAAAUUACCCAAUCCCGACACGGGGAGGUAGUGACAAUAAAUACUGAUACAGGGCUCUUUUGGGUCUUGUAAUUGGAAUGAGUACAAUUUAAUUCCCUUAACGAGGAACAAUUGGAGGGCAAGUCUGGUGCCAGCAGCCGCGGUAAUUCCAGCUCCAAUAGCGUAUAUUAAAGUUGUUGCAGUUAAAAAGCUCGUAGUUGAACCUUGGGCCUGGCUGGCCGGUCCGCCUCACCGCGUGCACUGGUCCGGCCGGGCCUUUCCCUCUGGGGAGCCGCAUGCCCUUCACUGGGCGUGUCGGGGAACCAGGACGUUUACUUUGAAAAAAUUAGAGUGUUCAAAGCAGGCUUAUGCUCGGAUACAUUAGCAUGGAAUAAUGGAAUAGGACGUGCGGUUCUAUUUUGUUGGUUUCUAGGACCGCCGUAAUGAUUAAUAGGGACAGUCGGGGGCAUCAGUAUUCAGCUGUCAGAGGUGAAAUUCUUGGAUUUGCUGAAGACUAACUACUGCGAAAGCAUUUGCCAAGGAUGUUUUCAUUAAUCAGGAACGAAAGUUAGGGGAUCGAAGACGAUCAGAUACCGUCGUAGUCUUAACCAUAAACUAUGCCGACUAGGGAUCGGACGGUGUUAUUCUUUGACCCGUUCGGCACCUUACACGAAAGUACAAGUUUCUGGGUUCUGGGGGGAG